CCUGGUGUAUCUGACCACUGUUGUUCCAGUAUAUUAAUGUUCUAUGUGAAAUUUUGUAGGUAUUGGACUGUUAGCUACCGAUUUGCUCCAGACAUAAAUCGUUGGCAAGCUGAAGCUCUAGCUGCAAUUCAAGAGGUUUGGUAACUUAUCCAAUCUUCUAAACUUGUAAGACUUCAAAAUCCAAUACAGAGAAACACAGUAAAACUGUAAUUUUUUUUGGGAAAUUAUUUUAUUUUUUCGGUCUUUUAGCUAUUUAUUUUCUAUUUGGUAAAGUAAAUAAGAAUUUGUGCUUACAAGUAUUUUUUUAAUUUUAGCUACUUGAAUCAUUAUAAUUUGGGUAAGUGUUAAAACAAUUGCUAUUAUUGUUAAUUUUAGCUACUUGAAUCAUUACAAUUUGGGUAAGUGUUAAAACAAUUGCUAUUAUUGUUAAUUUUAGCUACUUGAAUCAUUACAAUUUCUAUUGGAAGAUUGAGAUGUGAACAUUCAUCAAGUCUAUUGAUAAAAGAGCUUGAAAAUCAUCUAUUUAACUAGAUGAGAGCCUCCUAAAACAACAAGCUUAUAUGGGUCACAUAUUGUAAAAUCAAAAGCACAAUGUAUCACUAAAGAAGAUAAAAUUGUAAACUUGACAUUCAUACGAAAUUAUAGGAUUUCUUGCACUAGUGAUUACUUAGAUGGGGCGUUAGAUAUAAUACAAUGAAUAAAUUGUAAGGUGAUAAAAUUGAAGGAAUAAAUUAGAAACAUUUUAUUAAAAAUAAAACUAAUUAAAUGUGUAUAUUCAUAUACAACUCAUUAAUUAAAAAUAUUUUUAAAUAAUUAAACUUAAAAAUAUUAUUUUAAUAAUAUUACAUAUAUAUCGACUUUUGAACCAUUAUAAAUUAAACUCAAUCCAAUCAUGAGUAAAUAAAAUAAAAAUUUGAUCAUUAGAUAUAAUCAAGUAAACAACUUGAUUAAAAAACAAAUAUUCAAUAUAUUAGAAUUGGAUCAUUAGAUAUAAUCAAGUAAACAACUUGAUUAAAAAACAAAUAUUCAUUGUUAUUAUGAUUGAUUAAAAAACAACUUGAUUAAACAACAAGUAUUUGGUAACAUUGUUGAUUAAAAAACAAAUAUUCAUUGUUAAUGUUAAUGUUAAAGUUCUAUUUUUUGCUUCGUUAAGAUUCUAAAUUUGUAUUGUUCAUUUUUCUUUGAUAGUGUAAUAUUGCUUCCUAUUGAAGCGGCUUGUUUGAUUGCUU
This 1229-nucleotide long non-coding RNA is filed under the name Gossypium barbadense (sea-island cotton). RNAcentral's name for it is "long non-coding RNA (GBAR_LNC022266)". Lineage: Eukaryota; Viridiplantae; Streptophyta; Magnoliopsida; Malvales; Malvaceae. The record is from RNAcentral.